GUUUGCUAUGAAGGCCUGUUUUCUAGGCUGCAUAAGAGGGACCUGUUCCUUAUCCUUCUGCUUAGGGGAAAGUUCCCGAAUCAUAGGCCGAGAGUGCUGCGUACACACAGGCCGAGUAGACUUCCCACACGAGUCACUGUUAGUCUCUCAAGGGGCUUUUACAGUGUUAAUUCUUCCAAUCUACAAACAGGGACUGUCUUUCCAUUUGUUUGUGUUUUCUUCAGUUUCUCUCACCAAUGUUUUAUGUUUGCCAGUGUGCAAGGAGAUCAUGUUCCUAGUUAA
This is a ribozyme of Cricetulus griseus (Chinese hamster), 282 nucleotides long. It matches the Rfam family "RNase MRP". From Rfam's summary of the family: RNase MRP is an enzymatically active ribonucleoprotein with two distinct roles in eukaryotes. In mitochondria it plays a direct role in the initiation of mitochondrial DNA replication. NCBI's taxonomy places the organism in Eukaryota, Metazoa, Chordata, Mammalia, Rodentia, Cricetidae. The record is from Ensembl.